CUAGACAAACGGGCCUCGAUCCCGUAAACAAUUAAUUAACAGCUAAACACUCUAUCCAGCGAGCUUUUGCCUA
This 73-nucleotide transfer RNA is filed under the name Anniella pulchra. Its description in RNAcentral is "tRNA-Asx". Lineage: Eukaryota; Metazoa; Chordata; Lepidosauria; Squamata; Anniellidae. RNAcentral also lists the same sequence under 1 other name. The record is from RNAcentral.